This 424-nucleotide ribosomal RNA is filed under the name uncultured bacterium. Its description in RNAcentral is "bacterial SSU rRNA". It matches the Rfam family "Bacterial small subunit ribosomal RNA", at positions 356 to 772 of the family's 1533-position model. The record is from RNAcentral.
GGGGAAUCUUGCGCAAUGCGCGAAAGCGUGACGCAGCAACGCCGCGUGGAGGAAGACGGCCUUCGGGUUGUAAACUCCUUUCAGUUGGGACGAAGCUUCACUGGUUAAGAGCUGGUUGGAGUGACGGUACCUUUAGAAGAAGCCCCGGCUAACUACGGCCCAGCAGCCGCGGUAAUACGUAGGGGGCAAGCGUUGUCCGGAAUCAUUGGGCGUAAAGCGCGUGUAGGCGGCCUUGUAAGUCCGUUCUGAAAGUCCGGGGCUCAACCCCGGGAGGCGGAUGGAUACUGCAAGGCUCGAGUACGGAAGAGGCGAGUGGAAUUCCCGGUGUAGCGGUGAAAUGCGCAGAUAUCGGGAGGAACACCAAUGGCGAAGGCAGCUCGCUGGGACGUUACUGACGCUGAGGAGCGAAAGCGUGGGGAGCGAA